UACAGAGGGUGCGAGCGUUGUUCGGAAUUAUUGGGCGUAAAGGGCGCGUAGGCGGCUUGCACAGUCAGGCGUGAAAUUCCUGGGCUCAACCUGGGGACUGCGCUUGAGACGUGUGGGCGUUGAGUGGGGAAGAGGGUCGUGGAAUUCCCAGUGUAGAGGUGAAAUUCGUAGAUAUUGGGAAGAACACCGGUGGCGAAGGCGGCGACCUGGUCCUUGACUGACGCUGAGGCGCGAAAGCGUGGGGAGCAAACAGG
RNAcentral lists this ribosomal RNA (254 nucleotides) under uncultured bacterium. RNAcentral describes it as "partial 16S ribosomal RNA". It matches the Rfam family "Bacterial small subunit ribosomal RNA", at positions 524 to 776 of the family's 1533-position model. The record is from RNAcentral.